UACGGGGGGGGCAAGCGUUGUUCGGAAUUACUGGGCGUAAAGGGCCCGUAGGCGGCCAACUAAGUCGGAUGUGAAAUCCCCAGGCUUAACCUGGGAACUGCAUCCGAUACUGGAUGGCUUGAAUUCGGGAGAGGGAUGCAGAAUUCCAGGUGUAGCGGUGAAAUGCGUAGAUAUCUGGAGGAACACCGGUGGCGAAGGCGACAUCCUGGACCGGUAUUGACGCUGAGGCGCGAAAGCCAGGGGAGCAAACGGG
This 253-nucleotide ribosomal RNA is filed under the name uncultured bacterium. RNAcentral's name for it is "partial 16S ribosomal RNA". It matches the Rfam family "Bacterial small subunit ribosomal RNA", at positions 524 to 776 of the family's 1533-position model. The record is from RNAcentral.